Non-coding RNA from Paramuricea clavata, 574 nucleotides. The record is from the annotation of a GenBank genome assembly. Lineage: Eukaryota; Metazoa; Cnidaria; Anthozoa; Malacalcyonacea; Plexauridae.
AAUUUAUUUUGCACUUCUGUAUUACAUGGAAUGAUUAUUAUUUGUAUAGUAUAUUUACCAAAAAAAAUAAGUGCUGGCCUCCUGUUAUUGACCAUGAAGGCUAAUCAAGACCGGUGGUCAUUAAUAUAUUACAAUAGUAUUAUUUAAAGAGUGUCACAAGAAGGUGCAAUCAAAGUUAAAAAGAUUAGAGAGCAAAGUGCACAAAACACACAAAGUAAAAAAAAAACCCAACAGAACAACAGGAACAAAACAAAACAAAAAUCAACACAAGACAAAAAAAAAGGAAAGAAAAAAAAUAUGAUUGACUCAUACACAUAUAGUAAUUACACGGAUAGCUAGUAGUAAUCAAUUAACUGUUGUUUUAAUUUUUGUUUAAAAGAAGAUUCGCUCAGAGAUUUAAUAGACUCAUCAAUAUCAUUCCAGGUCUUAGGGACCGGUCAUUAUUUAUGGCGGGGGGUGGCACCGAAGAGAAAAAGGCUGGGUAAUCAAAAUUUUGAGUAAGUAAAAGGUUGGGUAAAUGAAAAACAAAACAACUCAAGGGUUGGGUAAUAAAAUUUAUUGUCAUUUCCAAAGC